Molecule: ribosomal RNA, 253 nt
Filed under: uncultured bacterium
Lineage: Bacteria
Description: partial 16S ribosomal RNA
Rfam family: Bacterial small subunit ribosomal RNA
Source: RNAcentral
UACAGAGGAGCCAAGCGUUGUCCGGAUUUAUUGGGCGUAAAGGGCGCGCAGGCGGCUACGCACGUCCGUUGUGAAAUCGCUCGGCUCAACUGGGCGGGGUCAGCGGAUACGGCGUAGCUGGAGCAAGCUAGGGGGCAAUGGAAUUCCCGGUGUAGUGGUGGAAUGCGUAGAUAUCGGGAGGAACACCAGUGGCGAAGGCGGUUGCCUGGAGCUUUGCUGACGCUGAGGCGCGAAAGCGUGGGGAGCGAUCCGG